Non-coding RNA from Acanthosepion pharaonis, 113 nucleotides. Lineage: Eukaryota; Metazoa; Mollusca; Cephalopoda; Sepiida; Sepiidae. The record is from the annotation of a GenBank genome assembly.
UAUGGCCUUAUCAUGUUGAAACAUUGGUUCCCAUAUGAUCAACAAAGUGAAGCAACAACAAGCCUGGUCAGUAUCUAGAUGAGUGACCACUUGGGAAUACCAGGUACUGUAAG